CAGUAGCCGCGGGAACACGAAGGGUGCAAGCGUUACUCGGAAUUACUGGGCGUAAAGCGUGCGUGGGUGGUGGUUUAAGUCCGUUGUGAAAGCCCUGGGCUCAACCUGGGAAUUGCAGUGGAUACUGGGUCACUAGAGUGUGGUAGAGGAUAGUGGAAUUUCCGGUGUAGCAGUGAAAUGCGUAGAGAUCGGAAGGAACAUCUGUGGCGAAGGCGACUAUCUGGGCCAACACUGACACUGAGGCACGAAAGCGUGGGGAGCAAACAGGAUUAGAUACCCCAGUAGUCCCUGUCUCUUAUAC
This 301-nucleotide ribosomal RNA is filed under the name uncultured bacterium. Its description in RNAcentral is "partial 16S ribosomal RNA". It matches the Rfam family "Bacterial small subunit ribosomal RNA", at positions 509 to 807 of the family's 1533-position model. The record is from RNAcentral.